GCGCCCUUAGCUCAGCUGGAUAGAGCAACGCCCUUCUAAGGCGUGGGUCGCAGGUUCGAAUCCUGCAGGGCGCG
Molecule: non-coding RNA, 74 nt
Organism: Colwellia sp. 39_35_sub15_T18
Lineage: Bacteria; Pseudomonadati; Pseudomonadota; Gammaproteobacteria; Alteromonadales; Colwelliaceae
Source: Rfam